Molecule: RNase P RNA, 375 nt
Filed under: Salmonella enterica subsp. enterica serovar Kedougou
Lineage: Bacteria; Pseudomonadati; Pseudomonadota; Gammaproteobacteria; Enterobacterales; Enterobacteriaceae
Description: RNase P RNA component class A
Rfam family: Bacterial RNase P class A
About the family: Ribonuclease P (RNase P) is a ubiquitous endoribonuclease, found in archaea, bacteria and eukarya as well as chloroplasts and mitochondria. Its best characterised activity is the generation of mature 5'-ends of tRNAs by cleaving the 5'-leader elements of precursor-tRNAs.
Source: RNAcentral
GAAGCUGACCAGACAGUCGCCGCUUCGUCGUCGUCCUUUCGGGGAGACGGGCGGAGGGGAGGAAAGUCCGGGCUCCAUAGGGCAGGGUGCCAGGUAACGCCUGGGGGGGAAACCCACGACCAGUGCAACAGAGAGCAAACCGCCGAUGGCUCACGUAAGUGGGAUCAGGUAAGGGUGAAAGGGUGCGGUAAGAGCGCACCGCGCGGCUGGUAACAGUCCGUGGCACGGUAAACUCCACCCGGAGCAAGGCCAAAUAGGGGUUCAUAAGGUACGGCCCGUACUGAACCCGGGUAGGCUGCUUGAGCCAGUGAGCGAUUGCUGGCCUAGAUGAAUGACUGUCCACGACAGAACCCGGCUUAUCGGUCAGUUUCACCU